AUUUUUUACCUCACGUUUACAUAAAGACCCUACACUUUCAGGAGAAGACAAUAGUGCCGUUAAAGCAGUGUUGCCCGCACUCUCCCAAGUUUACGUCUGAGUCUCUCUUUCGUAGCGCCCACGCCUCAAUGGUGAAUUCGUUGCUCGUGUUGUCAACGGUGGCUUUGCUUUAACAUUUAGGCUGGAUUCGGAUGAAUUGUGAUGUUUAUGAAUGGUUGGAAGAUUUCUGAGUUAAAAUUUAUAAAUAAUAAAGAAUAGUAAUAAGAUAUGAGUUGAGAUUAUUCGAACCGACACUUUUAGUGUUGAAAGAUCCGAACCCGGUUCGACUCCAUUGGCGUCCUUUCAAAAAUGGAGACCCGUUCGGGAUCAGCGUUGUAGGUUCUGAUUGUCCUGGUUGGUCUUUUGGGGCUCUGGCGGGAUUGGGUCAGUUUUUGCCCAGAGUCGAAGACCCAAGAACGUGCAGGUCCCGGUUCGGGUCAAAUGGUACGGUACCCCACUGCUUUUAGAAGCUGUGAACCAUUAUCUAGGGAAUGGAAAGACCUUUUCAAGGACUUCAUUGACGUGUGGCUUCAUACUGAGGGUGGCCUUGAUCUUAUACAGCUAAAGAGUGCCUGAAGAAAAUCUUGGAACAUGGACACUCUCUUUUUAAGUGAACCAUUGACAUCGUUGUUUGAACUCUCACUUAUGCUGCGAUCAGCAUCCCCAAGAUUGGUGCUUUAUCGACAACUAGCAGAGAAGUCUCUUUUUCCUUUCCUCUGGCUGAUGAAGCUGUAUCAAACAAUUUCAAGGAGGAAACUUUAGAAACAAAUGCAAAAAUGCAGAUUAAAAAAUCAGACCCCUUGCUUGUUGGUGUAAACCCAGAUGGUGCUGGCGCAGAAUGUUGUUGAGUGAAUACUGGUGGAUCACUGUUCUUUGAUAUUGAGGAAUUGCUAUUGUGGCUUCGCAAUCCUAGUGAACUCGCUGGAGACUCAUUUCAGCAGCCAGAACUAUUUGACUUUGAUCGUAUUCACUUUGAUUCAAGUGCAGAAAGCCCAGUUUCCAUCCUUAAUGGAGCUCUUAGAACUGAUUGCUUUAAGAAGUUUCAUGUCGCAUUAGUUGAAGCUGCCAAAGAGGGAAAAGUUAUGUUGUGAGACCUGUUUUACCUUCUGGCUGUGAAGCAAAAAUUGACCAUUGCAGUGCAGUUGGCACAAGAGAUUCCUUGAAUUUGGGCGGUUAUGGUGUAGGACUUGCUUUGAAGAACAUGGAAUAUAAGGCCAUGGAUAACGGUAUAAUAAAGAAAGGUUAGAAUUAUCAAUUUAUGCUCUAGUCCACUUUCUUUCAACUUAUGUUCAUGUUUUAGGAGUUUUUAUUUUAGGCAAGCUUUAUUGAGGCCAUGUUGUAUCUGUGCUGCAAUAUUGAAUAUGCAUUAUACAUGAAGUUUAAAGCUUUCCUUUCAGAGUUUUGGUGUUGGCCUGCUGCAUAAAUGCCUUAACGACUAGCUGUUUCUCAAUAGUUGUCAAUAAGUUUCUGAUGCAAUUAAGAAAAAUUUUGGCCCCAGCACGUUGAAGUUAAUGUUUCACUUACUGCUUCAUUUGAAGGUUUUAGAAUUUAAUUAUGUUUCUUGACGUUUGAUCUGAUAUUUAUAUGCACAUUUAACUCAAGUCAAAGGAAUUUCAAAAAUAAAAAAUAAAGGGGGCCCUGAAUUAGCUUGGGGGGAUAUGUUGACUAGGGAGGUGAAAAAAGUAGGAUUUUAGAUAGGUUACAAUGGCGGAAAAGAAUACAUUUUCGACACCAGUUGGUUGAUAAAGAUCCAUAACCGAUCCUAAUUUGAUUGGGAUUAAGGUUUAGUUUAAGUUUUUAAAGGAAUUGGCCGCCAAUGAAUUAAUUAUUUUGGCUGGUAUCUAAUGUUUGAUUAUGAGUAUGCAUUACUGUGUUUGAGUACUUAGAUUUUAAUUGGUGGAGAAUGUGUUAAUAAUGUGAGGUUUGAGCAUCACUCUCGAGGAUCCUCGGACUAAAGAUAAUAAGAUAGAGGAUUCAUAUUCUCUAAAAUUCUGGUUGGUUAUUCUUUUUUGAGGUUUUACUCUUUUUCUUAUUCAGAUCGUUUCUUAUGUUCAUAACCGCCAAUUGGGCCCUUUCUCUUUACUCUGAAUAUAAUGUGUGAGCGGAAGAUUGUGAAGUGCUUAUAUAUGCUUGGAUAUAAUUCAUGAAAAGCAGGUGUUAUAUAC
Molecule: long non-coding RNA, 2204 nt
Organism: Juglans regia (Persian walnut)
Lineage: Eukaryota; Viridiplantae; Streptophyta; Magnoliopsida; Fagales; Juglandaceae
Exons: 4
Source: RefSeq, a predicted model, not a curated record